RNAcentral lists this ribosomal RNA (918 nucleotides) under uncultured eukaryote. Its description in RNAcentral is "SSU rRNA". It matches the Rfam family "Eukaryotic small subunit ribosomal RNA", at positions 528 to 1464 of the family's 1831-position model. The record is from RNAcentral.
CACUAUAGCGAUGGAUUUAAGCGGCGCGAUCGCCUUGUGCCAAGCAGCCGCGGUAAUUCCAGCUCCAAUAGCGUAUACUAAAGUUGUUGCGGUUAAAAAGCUCGUAGUUGGAUCUUGGAAUGUGUUCAAGCGGGUCAGCUUCUGGCUGUGCGCUGCUUGACGUGUUCUUCUAUUUGGUUUUGGUGCGGUGCGCUUAACUGCGUGUCGCUCCCGGCCGAAACGUUUACCUUGAAAAAAUUAGAGUGUUCAAAGCAGACCUGUUUGAGUCUGAAUAUUCGUGCAUGGAAUAAUGAAAUAUGAAUUCGGUUCUAUUUUGUUGGUUUUCGGAACUCGAGUUAAUGAUCAAGAGGGACAGACGGGGGCAUUCGUACUCUGCCGUUAGAGGUGAAAUUCUUGGAUCGGCGGAAGACGCGCAACUGCGAAAGCAUUUGCCAAGAAUGUUUUCUUUAAUCAAGAACGAUAGUCGGAGGUUCGAAGACGAUCAGAUACCGUCCUAGUUUCGACUGUAAACUAUGCCAGCUAACGAUCAGACAGAGUUCUCUACGACUUGUCUGGCAGUUUCCGGGAAACCAAAGCGUUUGGGUUCCGGGGGAAGUAUGGUUGCAAAGCUGAAACUUAAAGGAAUUGACGGAAGGGCACCACCAGGAGUGGAGCCUGCGGCUUAAUUUGACUCAACACGGGGAAACUCACCCGGCCCGGACACAGUGAGGAUUGACAGAUUGAGAGUUCUUUCUUGAUUCUGUGGGUGGUGGUGCAUGGCCGUUCUUAGUUGGUGGAGCGAUUUGUCUGGUUAAUUCCGAUAACGAACGAGACUCUGGCAUGUUAAAUAGUCGCGGAAGUGCGUAUGCACUUGCCGAAUUGACUUCUUAGAGGGACUAGUGAUUUUAAUUCACACGAGAUUGAGCAAUAACAGGUCUG